This 549-nucleotide ribosomal RNA is filed under the name uncultured bacterium. Its description in RNAcentral is "bacterial SSU rRNA". It matches the Rfam family "Bacterial small subunit ribosomal RNA", at positions 355 to 895 of the family's 1533-position model. The record is from RNAcentral.
UAGGGAAUCUUCGGCAAUGGACGGAAGUCUGACCGAGCAACGCCGCGUGAGUGAAGAAGGUUUUCGGAUCGUAAAGCUCUGUUGUAAGAGAAGAACGAGUGUGAGAGUGGAAAGUUCACACUGUGACGGUAUCUUACCAGAAAGGGACGGCUAACUACGUGCCAGCAGCCGCGGUAAUACGUAGGUCCCGAGCGUUGUCCGGAUUUAUUGGGCGUAAAGCGAGCGCAGGCGGUUAGAUAAGUCUGAAGUUAAAGGCUGUGGCUUAACCAUAGUACGCUUUGGAAACUGUUUAACUUGAGUGCAAGAGGGGAGAGUGGAAUUCCAUGUGUAGCGGUGAAAUGCGUAGAUAUAUGGAGGAACACCGGUGGCGAAAGCGGCUCUCUGGCUUGUAACUGACGCUGAGGCUCGAAAGCGUGGGGAGCAAACAGGAUUAGAUACCCUGGUAGUCCACGCCGUAAACGAUGAGUGCUAGGUGUUAGACCCUUUCCGGGGUUUAGUGCCGUAGCUAACGCAUUAAGCACUCCGCCUGGGGAGUACGACCGCAAGGUU